GAUGAACGCUGGCGGCGUGCCUAAUACAUGCAAGUCGAGCGAACAGACGAGGAGCUUGCUCCUCUGACUUUAUCACCGGACGGAUCGUUAACACGUGUAUAACCUACCUAUAAGACUGGGGUAACUUCGGGAGACCGGAGCUAAUACCGGAUAAUAUAUUGAACCGCAUUGUUCAAGAGUGAGAUACGGUUUUUCUGUCACUUAUAGAUUGAUCCGCCCCGCAUUAGCUAGUGGGUAAGGUAACUGCUUACCAACGCUACGAUGCGUAGACGCCCCGAACGGGUGGUCGGCUAGCUGGGAAGUGAGACAGGGUCGCGACUCCUACGGGAGGCAGCAGCAGGGACUCCUACGGAAUGGAGGAAAGGCUGAUGGAGGAAAGUCGCGUGAGUGAUGAAGGUGCUAGGCCGGUAAAACUCUGUUAUUCGGAAAGAAGAAAUGCGUAAGCAACUAUGAACGUCUUGACGGUACCAACUGAGAAAGCCACGGCUAACUCCGUG
RNAcentral lists this ribosomal RNA (497 nucleotides) under uncultured bacterium. RNAcentral describes it as "partial 16S ribosomal RNA". It matches the Rfam family "Bacterial small subunit ribosomal RNA", at positions 28 to 507 of the family's 1533-position model. The record is from RNAcentral.